AUUCAUCUGACGCAUCCUCUACCAAACUUGGUUAUUUUGUUUUUUUUUUUUAAAAAUUGGUUAUUUUUGAAUUUUUUUUGAAAAAAUUGGUUGUUUUGAAAAAAAAAUUCACUAAUUAUAGUGCUUGUAAUUAAUUACUCUUCGUAAAAAAAAGUGUCUUAUUUAUAUAUUUUUUAUAUCUUAAAAUAAAUGUCUUUUUAGAAA
Molecule: long non-coding RNA, 204 nt
Filed under: Lathyrus oleraceus (garden pea)
Lineage: Eukaryota; Viridiplantae; Streptophyta; Magnoliopsida; Fabales; Fabaceae
Description: Pisum sativum (pea) long non-coding RNA (PSAT_LNC003849)
Source: RNAcentral